This 451-nucleotide long non-coding RNA is filed under the name Mytilus galloprovincialis (Mediterranean mussel). The record is from RNAcentral. Lineage: Eukaryota; Metazoa; Mollusca; Bivalvia; Mytilida; Mytilidae.
CAUAAUUUAUAUAAUAGUUCUUGAAAAACUGGUCAUUAUCGUGAUAUAUAUACUGCCCACAGGACAGUGGUAUUGACUAAGACAGUGAUAAUGACUGAACCGAAGGCGAGGUCAUUAUCGCUGUCGCAGUCAAUACCACUGUCCUACGGGCUACGGGCAGUCCAUGUAUCACGAUAAAGACCAGUUUUUCCAAGAACUAUUAUGUUUAUUUCAUUGAGAAACCAUGUUUUGGAAAAUUCUCAUAAAUUCAAAAUGACUAAAGCGAAUUCGAGUAGUUGUUAGAUAACUAUGGCAAAGAGUGAAGACCAGUCGUAGUAAUACUGACAUUCUUUUAGUGCAAUUUUUCAGUAUGGAAAUACUUAAUCAAGUUCUCUUUAGUUUUAUAAUUAACAAAAGCAUAUAAUAAACAAUUCAACAACUUAAAUAUAAUAUUAAAAAUAGGAAUCAUUUU